UAGAGAAAGGGCCUAUGAUGGAAUCAUUGAAUCUCAGCGACGCGGUGAAAGAUCUAAAAGAGGUGGAUGAUCCCAAGUAUUGAAAAUAUCACCGCAUCGUCAGUCACCCUACAGCAAGAUGCUUCGUCUUAAAGGAGAAGAUCAUGACGUUGGUGAGAGAUGGAAAGAUCAUCAUUGACGCUAAUGACACGGCCGAAGCGAACCAUGCUAGUGCUAAAAUCGAUCACAAGAAGGGAUCAACGUAAUAGUCUUCUCCAAGGUUCUCUAAAAAAUCAUGCUAGUGCUAAAAUCGAUCACAAGAAGGAAUCAAGAUAAUAGUCUUCUCCAAGGUUCUCUAACAAGCAAGGAGAGAUCCACGAGACGUUCUUCCUCAAGAUCAAUCUGAAGUGCUGAUGGAAGUUCAUUGAAGAUUCAACACAUCACAAGGAACUCGUUUCGUUCGAGAAAUACACUACAUUGUCCCUCGAAUUGAAGAAAACAAGAAGGAGUGAUCAAGAGAAGUUGUCCCUCGUGAUCAAUCCGAAGCGCUACUAACUCUUCUUGACGAUCAAGUAAAUCACAAGGAGGUCCACAUCAUCCUGCGCUCGAGAAAUACGCUGCUUCAGCCCUCGAAUCAAGGAAAACAAAUUAGAGACAAGAAUCAGGGGAUACACAUAGUUGUACUCACAAGUUUUAUUAAAAAAAGCAUUUUUCUUUACAUUUGUUUAUUGAUUGCAGUUAUUAAUUUCCGUACACGAAAUUUGUCGCGAACAGUAAGCUAAUCAAAUCAAUAUGAC
This 776-nucleotide long non-coding RNA is filed under the name Nicotiana benthamiana. RNAcentral describes it as "long non-coding RNA (NBEN_LNC004863)". Lineage: Eukaryota; Viridiplantae; Streptophyta; Magnoliopsida; Solanales; Solanaceae. The record is from RNAcentral.